This 744-nucleotide long non-coding RNA is filed under the name Homo sapiens (human). Its description in RNAcentral is "HSALNT0355381". The record is from RNAcentral. Lineage: Eukaryota; Metazoa; Chordata; Mammalia; Primates; Hominidae.
UAGAAAUAGCAGAUGACUUGCCUCCUAAAGCAAACCCUGGGAACCCUUCAAACACCUGCAGUGCAGAGUCCUUUCUCCAUGUUAUGUGGGGCCGCUCUGGUGUCCCAGCCCCUGUGAAUGAGGUCACGACGCCAGCUCAGCCAGUCCUGGAAGCCAUCUGAGAGCUGCUCUCCUGCUCAAGCCAAUGUGUGAAAUACGGCAUUUUGGAUACAUCAUCACCAGUGAGCCAAGCUGGACGCUAGUUAAAGCGGAACCACCAUCAGAAGCCAUCCAGAGAAACGCACCAGGCCACAAAGCACUGGGGGCCAGGGAUCUUGCCCCUGCUGUCUGCCAUGGGUUGACCCCCAGCCUCCAACCCUACCAUCCCCUGACGGUGUCUGCAGCAGUUGAACCCAACCAGCAUCUAAAAGAACACAGUUGGUGAACGAGACUGGGACACAGGGCAAGAUGGGUGGACAAUGGGAGGCUCCUGGAGAGCACCCGUACCAGCGAGCAUAGAAUUCAUGGGGGUGACCUGUUCCCUGAAGCAUCUGCGCGUGUUGUUCCAGCAUUUUCUUCAAGGAUUGAGCCAGCAGCACCAGUGUCAUACGGUGCUUAAAUCAAUGAUUCACAACCAACCAAUGAAAUACAAGGUGCCGGCUGGGCGCGGUGGCUCACGCCUGUAAUCCCAGCACUUUGGGAGGCCGAGGCGGGCGGAUCACAAGGUCGGGAGUUCGAGACCAGCCUGGCCAACAUGGUGAAGCC